RNAcentral lists this ribosomal RNA (301 nucleotides) under uncultured bacterium. RNAcentral describes it as "partial 16S ribosomal RNA". It matches the Rfam family "Bacterial small subunit ribosomal RNA", at positions 509 to 807 of the family's 1533-position model. The record is from RNAcentral.
CAGCCGCCGCGGGAAUACGUAGGGUGCGAGCGUUAAUCGGAAUUACUGGGCGUAAAGCGUGCGCGGGCGGUUGUGUAAGACAGGUGUGAAAUCCCCGGGCUUAACCUGGGAACUGCGCUUGUGACUGCACAGCUAGAGUAUGGCAGAGGGGGGUGGAAUUCCACGUGUAGCAGUGAAAUGCGUAGAGAUGUGGAGGAACACCGAUGGCGAAGGCAGCCCCCUGGGCCAAUACUGACGCUCAUGCACGAAAGCGUGGGGAGCAAACAGGAUUAGAUACCCCUGUAGUCCCUGUCUCUUAUAC